Molecule: unclassified non-coding RNA, 137 nt
Filed under: uncultured Dothideomycetes
Lineage: Eukaryota; Fungi; Ascomycota; Dothideomycetes
Description: sequence contains ITS2
Source: RNAcentral
CGACCUCGAGCGUAGCUUGGUGUUGAGGGCUGUCGCCUCGGCGGCACCCUUUAAAAGCAUUGGCGGCAGCGCAGCUCAAUCGCAACAAAAUGCGUGCAAAGCAGCCAACUGCCCGCCAAAACCUUUUUACAUUUACA